AAGAGUUCGAGCUGUUGAGAAGGCAUUGGUCGAAAUGCAGCAGCUUUUGGGGCAGGAAAAUGUUAACAUGCAAAUGAAGCUACAGGCUGCAACGCAACAGAUUGAGGAGUUAAAGUCAAAGAGCAGCCUCCGUAAAAGAAACUCAACACCUAAAUCUGAAAUAUUUGAGGCAGAAAGCGGAAUUUUGACCAAGGAUAUCAUGUCAAUGCAACAGAUUGAGGAGUUAAAGUCAAAGAGCAGCCUCCGUAAAAGAAACUCAGCACCUGAAUCUGAAAUAUUUGAGGCAGAAAGUGGAAUUUUGACCAAGGAUAUCAUGCUUGACCACGUAUCCGAGUGUUCAUCCAACAGAAUUGGCAGGAGAGAGGAACAGGCUGAGACUAAUAAUCUAGUUUUUGACCUAU
RNAcentral lists this long non-coding RNA (401 nucleotides) under Nicotiana benthamiana. RNAcentral describes it as "long non-coding RNA (NBEN_LNC027156)". Lineage: Eukaryota; Viridiplantae; Streptophyta; Magnoliopsida; Solanales; Solanaceae. The record is from RNAcentral.